UGUUAGAAAUUUUAUUAAUUUCUAUUGUUAAAAAUUAGUUUAGUUGACAGCAUAAUCAGACAGUUACAUGUGACACAUUACAUGUACUUCAUUUUGACGUACAUAAACUAAUUUUUAAGAAUAGAAAUGGAUAAAAAUUUUAAUA
This is a microRNA precursor of Gossypium arboreum, 145 nucleotides long. It matches the Rfam family "MIR7502 microRNA precursor family". NCBI's taxonomy places the organism in Eukaryota, Viridiplantae, Streptophyta, Magnoliopsida, Malvales, Malvaceae. The record is from Rfam.